Molecule: ribosomal RNA, 254 nt
Filed under: uncultured bacterium
Lineage: Bacteria
Description: partial 16S ribosomal RNA
Rfam family: Bacterial small subunit ribosomal RNA
Source: RNAcentral
UACGUAGGGGGCGAGCGUUGUCCGGAUUUAUUGGGCGUAAAAGGCUUGUAGGUGGCCACGCCAAGUCGGAUGUGAAAUCUCCCGGCUCAACUGGGAGGGGUCAUUCGAUACUGGCGGGCUCGAGGCCGGUAGGGGGAAGCGGAAUUCCCGGUGUAGUGGUGGAAUGCGUAGAUAUCGGGAGGAACACCAGUGGCGAAGGCGGCUUCCUGGACCGGUUCUGACACUGAGGAGCGAAAGCGUGGGGAGCGAUCCGG